AAGAGGAAAAAGAGAAAAAAAACCUAAAACCUAAGUAUUUCAGCAAGCCAAAAAAAAAUGAAAGGGGGAAGAGGGAAAGAGGGAAACGAUGGCCACAAUGCCUCGGUCUUAGCCGAUUUCGGCAUUCAUCGGUGCUCAACGCCUCCGCCGUGGUACCAGUCCAAAGCCACUCAAAUCGCAGGUAAGUUUUCUCCUCUAUUUUGCCCCCCUUUUUUGGUGUAAAAUGAUGAAGAAAUCAAUUGAAAUAAGUAAAAAGAACAGAGGGUUGAAAAGAGAAGGGAAAUCACCUUCUCAGUUUUUUUUGAUUGAUUGCUAUUAUCUCUGUGUUCGUACAAUAUGCGUUUUUUUAUUUCGUAACCGUUUACAAAGGAAGAUUUCCUGGCUUUAUAGCCGAAAAGAAAGAAAAUAAAUCAAUAAUAUAAAAAAAACACAAUAUUUUCUCUUUUGUUUCUAUUUGCUGCUGCUCUGUUUGUCUUUUUACAGGUACGGGUGCGCGUUCGGGUAUGGUGGUUUAGGCAUGGCAUGGCUACUGAGGCGCUAGCAUCGUACGGGGGCAGGAGGCUGCAGGGGUUGCUGCGGCGCAAGCAGAAGGAGAACCCUAGGGUUUUGUCUGUUCUAAAAGCAAUGGGCCUAUCGGGCUUGUAUUUCGGGUUUUGGGUUAUUGGGGUUAAUUUGGUUUGAUUUUGGGUUGGGCUUGUAUUUAUUAUUUUUUGAAUUUGGGCUAGAGGUCAUGUAACCGGAUAUUUUAAUAGAUAUUUAAUUAUUUUUUAUUUUAGAUUCUAGUUCUGCUUUGGGCCCGGGCAAAUUGGCCUGUCCAUAGUCUGCAUUCUUUGAAGUCUACUAAGUGUAGUAGUCACCUUACAUGCACCGAAUUUCAAGAUUUAUCGAGUACUAAAAUGCCCUCGAUUAACUGAAGGACGAAUGCUCAGGCGUAUUGUUCUUUGAUGACCUCGGUCACAUGCGGAGUAUGGUUUUAGAAAAAUUUCCCGACCAAUUCAUCAAUAUCCGGCCACCUUCAAACUUGUCCAGGACCUUCUCCAAUAAUGCCGCUUAGAGAUCCUCUAUACUGGGAACGAUCACUGUUUCUGUGACAACUGAUCCAUCCACCGAUAGACCGAGCUGUAAUGCCACGUCCUCCAGUGUGAUUGUAGACUCACCACAUGGAAGAUGAAAAGUGUGUGUCUCGGGCCUCCAUCUUUCCACCAACGCGCUGAUGAGUCUAGGAUCGAGUUUGAAGCCCCCAAGCAUACGAGACGUAUGAAAGAAUCUCGCCUCUUGCAAGUAACCAUGAAUUUCAAUUAUCGGAGGCUUUGCCAAAUUAUGUAUGAACGCC
Molecule: long non-coding RNA, 1333 nt
Filed under: Gossypium barbadense (sea-island cotton)
Lineage: Eukaryota; Viridiplantae; Streptophyta; Magnoliopsida; Malvales; Malvaceae
Description: long non-coding RNA (GBAR_LNC012983)
Source: RNAcentral